This 518-nucleotide long non-coding RNA is filed under the name Phaseolus vulgaris (common bean). Its description in RNAcentral is "long non-coding RNA (PVUL_LNC003720)". The record is from RNAcentral. Lineage: Eukaryota; Viridiplantae; Streptophyta; Magnoliopsida; Fabales; Fabaceae.
UUCCAAACUUCGUUAGAGAAGAAUACUUAAACUCAUACUCAUCUAUUGGAUCUACCAAUUAACUAUUUUUUUCUACCUUUUUCUUUUGAAACGCUUCAAUGUUCUCCAAAAAUCCAGAGUAAGAAAAAGGAUUUGAAGCAGCAUGAUUUGGCAUGAUGGAAAAGGACACGAUGAAAGCAUUUGAGAAACAGUGGAAGGUAAUGAAAACAUAUCAUUAGAGUUGUGUAGAGAAUGUGCAGACCUGUAAUAUUCUACCUUUGUGCAGGACAUGGUUAGUACGAACCACCCAUUCCCUUCUCCAAACACACAUUCUUUACCUUUUCAAUCAUAGAUAGGGUUCCAAAGAUUAGAACCAGAAACACCAUCAUCGACACGCUUCAAACUUAUCAAUUUACCAAAGUGCUUAUGUACCUCUCAGUUUAAAACAAAAUUAUUAAUUAAGCACAAGUGAUUUUUUUAAGGUUGUGUGGUUAUGCUAUGAGAAAGGUUUGUGCUUUUAUUAUGGAGAAGCACUAAAU